This 235-nucleotide long non-coding RNA is filed under the name Elaeis guineensis (African oil palm). RNAcentral's name for it is "long non-coding RNA (EGUI_LNC066773)". Lineage: Eukaryota; Viridiplantae; Streptophyta; Magnoliopsida; Arecales; Arecaceae. The record is from RNAcentral.
AUUCAAUUGAUGAUACAUUAAAAAUUUCUUUCUAAUUAUCAUCUAGUUUUGGCAAAGGCUUCCAAAAUCAUCGACCUAUGAGAUCAUAUAGGAUGUUCACUCCUCUUAUUAGAAGUGACUGAUCCCUUAUUGAUCACUCACAACCUCCAUGCAUACUUCACCACAUCUAGAACACCCCACACAAGGAUCAGAGAAUCAAGUUAAGAAGUGAACCAAAAUAUGAAUUCAUGUACAC